This 253-nucleotide ribosomal RNA is filed under the name uncultured bacterium. Its description in RNAcentral is "partial 16S ribosomal RNA". It matches the Rfam family "Bacterial small subunit ribosomal RNA", at positions 524 to 776 of the family's 1533-position model. The record is from RNAcentral.
UACGUAGGGUGCAAGCGUUAAUCGGAAUUACUGGGCGUAAAGCGUGCGCAGGCGGUUUUGUAAGACUGUCGUGAAAUCCCCGGGCUCAACCUGGGAAUUGCGAUGGAGACUGCAAGGCUAGAAUCUGGCAGAGGGGGGUAGAAUUCCACGUGUAGCAGUGAAAUGCGUAAAGAUGUGGAGGAACACCGAUGGCGAAGGCAGCCCCCUGGGUCAAGAUUGACGCUCAUGCACGAAAGCGUGGGGAGCAAACAGG